UCAAACCUAAUACCUGAGCAUGAAUAGUCAAACUCCAUGACUAAAAAUAUAAAUUUAAAAGUUUUCAUUGGUCACUCAUAGCUGUACAAGUAUCCGACCUCUAUGGAUGGUCCACACGAAGCCCUCGGACCGAUCAGUCCUCCACGGGAGUGCUAGCUCGUGCAGUCAGCUUCUGAUGGUAGAUCUGACUUGAUCUCCUUCUUCGAUCAUCUUAGACCUUUUCGAUGUUGAAUAUCAAUCAGAGGAGGAUGCUAGAUGGUAGACAAAAAUAAAUGAAGACUCUCUUCUCUUUUAUUUUUUCCUUAUCCAAAAACUCUAGAACAGUUCUAGGUCACUCAUCCGAGAGGAGAUCAGUCUCCACUUUUGUUCACACCAAGAAAGAAGGAAACCCACCCAAAGCUCACAUCCCAAAGAAGGAUUUUCACCCUUCUUUCUCUUUAGUAUCUCACGGUGAAAAGCUCUCUAUUUUUGGUGCAUAAAAUUAUGGCUUUUUUAUGGUUGUCACACAAACCAGAUAAGACAAGAUAAGGGCAGGAGUUUGUUGCAAUUCAAACUAUUUUAAAUUUUAAUUUGACUCUAACCUUUUUUCAUCCUUAUCUAACUUAAAGAGAGACUUAUCAAAAAGAAUUAGGCAUGAAAAAAUAUUAGGAAGACUUCCUUUUUUCACACACAAUGNNN
RNAcentral lists this long non-coding RNA (678 nucleotides) under Elaeis guineensis (African oil palm). RNAcentral describes it as "long non-coding RNA (EGUI_LNC038189)". The record is from RNAcentral. Lineage: Eukaryota; Viridiplantae; Streptophyta; Magnoliopsida; Arecales; Arecaceae.